AGUGAAAGGUGGCCUCUGCCCUGCAUGCUACCGCCCAAGGAGGGGCUCGCGGCCCAUCAUGUAGUUGGUGGGGUAAUGGCCUACCACGUCUAUGACCGGUAGCCGGCCUGAGAGGGUGGCCGGCCACAGUGGGACUGAUACACGGCCCACACCCCUACGGGGGGCAGCAGUGGGGAAUCGUGGGCAAUGGGCGAAAGCCUGACCCCGUGACGCCGUGUGGAGGAAGAAGCCCUUCGGGGUGUAAACUCCUGUCCGGGGGGAAGAUGCCCACAGGGAUGAAUAAUCCCUGUCUGU
RNAcentral lists this ribosomal RNA (294 nucleotides) under uncultured bacterium. RNAcentral's name for it is "partial 16S ribosomal RNA". It matches the Rfam family "Bacterial small subunit ribosomal RNA", at positions 199 to 476 of the family's 1533-position model. The record is from RNAcentral.